CCAAGGAGUCUAACAUGUGCGCAAGUCGUUGGGUCGUCUUCCCCGAGACAAAACCCGUUCGGCGCAAUGAAAGUGAAGGCCAUGCUCGUUCCGCAAGGUUCGGCUGGUGAAAGCGGGAUCCGCAUUGAGGGCUUUAGCGGUUCUUGUAGAGCCCUGCGGCGCACCGCUGGCCCGUCUCUUCCGCAACGUCGGUGAGGCGGAGCUCGAGCGUAUACGUUGGGACCCGAAAGAUGGUGAACUAUGUUUGGGCAGGACGAAGCCAGAGGAAACUCUGGUGGAGGUCCGUAGCGAUUCUGACGUGCAAAUCGAUCGUCAGACCUGAAUAUAGGGGCGAAAGACUAAUCGAACCAUCUA
RNAcentral lists this ribosomal RNA (354 nucleotides) under Cryptops doriae. RNAcentral describes it as "eukaryotic LSU rRNA". It matches the Rfam family "Eukaryotic large subunit ribosomal RNA", at positions 666 to 946 of the family's 3401-position model. Lineage: Eukaryota; Metazoa; Arthropoda; Chilopoda; Scolopendromorpha; Cryptopidae. The record is from RNAcentral.